Molecule: ribosomal RNA, 253 nt
Filed under: uncultured bacterium
Lineage: Bacteria
Description: partial 16S ribosomal RNA
Rfam family: Bacterial small subunit ribosomal RNA
Source: RNAcentral
UACAGAGGUCCCAAGCGUUGUUCGGAUUCACUGGGCGUAAAGGGUGCGUAGGCGGGUCUUUAAGUCAGGGGUGAAAUCCUGGAGCUCAACUCCAGAACUGCCUUUGAUACUGAGGAUCUUGAGUUCGGGAGAGGUGAGUGGAACUGCGAGUGUAGAGGUGAAAUUCGUAGAUAUUCGCAAGAACACCAGUGGCGAAGGCGGCUCACGGGCCCGAUACUGACGCUGAGGCACGAAAGCGUGGGGAGCAAACAGG